This 72-nucleotide transfer RNA is filed under the name Candidatus Bathyarchaeota archaeon. RNAcentral describes it as "tRNA-Gly". It matches the Rfam family "tRNA". Rfam says of the family: Transfer RNA (tRNA) molecules are approximately 80 nucleotides in length. Their secondary structure includes four short double-helical elements and three loops (D, anti-codon, and T loops). Further hydrogen bonds mediate the characteristic L-shaped molecular structure. tRNAs have two regions of fundamental functional importance: the anti-codon, which is responsible for specific mRNA codon recognition, and the 3' end, to which the tRNAs corresponding amino acid is attached (by aminoacyl-tRNA synthetases). tRNAs cope with the degeneracy of the genetic code in two manners: having more than one tRNA (with a specific anti-codon) for a particular amino acid; and 'wobble' base-pairing, i.e. permitting non-standard base-pairing at the 3rd anti-codon position. Lineage: Archaea; Thermoproteati; Candidatus Bathyarchaeota. The record is from RNAcentral.
GCGUCUGUUGUCUAGUGGUCAGGAUCUCGGCCUUCCAAGCCGAUGACCCGGGUUCAAUUCCCGGCAGACGCA